RNAcentral lists this transfer RNA (58 nucleotides) under Viola brevistipulata var. minor. RNAcentral describes it as "partial tRNA-Leu". The record is from RNAcentral. Lineage: Eukaryota; Viridiplantae; Streptophyta; Magnoliopsida; Malpighiales; Violaceae.
GAAAGUCCGUCGACUUUAUAAAUCGUGAGGGUUCAAGUCCCUCUAUCCCCAAAAAAGG